This is a long non-coding RNA of Octopus sinensis (East Asian common octopus), 402 nucleotides long. RefSeq lists it as uncharacterized. The transcript is spliced from 2 exons. The record is from RefSeq and is a predicted model, not a curated record. NCBI's taxonomy places the organism in Eukaryota, Metazoa, Mollusca, Cephalopoda, Octopoda, Octopodidae.
UAUGCUUACACUUUACAGAGGUUUUGACAAGAACACACUCCAUCAAUAUUCUUUCACAUUAUGGAUGAGUAUAUCUUCAAGAUCACUUGAAAAGAAAAAAAACAAACAAUCCUGAUAAUUGACAGAGCAUGUCCAGGUGACAACAGGAUUGAAGAGAAAGAAGAAGACUAAGUGAAUAACCAUGAUGAAUUGAAGUGGGAAAUACAUGGGAAAUGAAGAAAGUGGACGUGAUACCAAUAGUGAGUGGUGCAGUUGGAAGUAUCAGUACAUAACUACCAACACACCUUAAAAAGAAUGGAACUUAUGUAAAGAAAGAACACCUACAAAAACCAUCAUUGCUUGGAAUUGCAAAUGUUCUCUCCAGGGUUCUUGAAGUAUUAUCAGUAAACAAGUUUCACCUUU